GCCAGACUCCUACGGGAGGCAGCAGUGGGGGAUAUUGCACAAUGGGGGGAACCCUGAUGCAGCGACGCCGCGUGGGUGAAGGAGCGUUUCGGCGCGUAAAGCCCUAUCGGCAGGGAAGAAGGAGGACGGUACCUGACUAAGAAGCCCCGGCUAACUACGUGCCGGCAGCCGCGGUAAUACGUAGGGGGCAAGCGUUAUCCGGAUUUACUGGGUGUAAAGGGGGCGCAGACGGCAGCGCAAGCCAGGAGUGAAAGCCCGGGGCCCAACCCCGGGACUGCUCUUGGAACUGCGCGGCUGGAGUGCAGGAGGGGCAGGCGGAAUUCCUGGUGUAGCGGUGAAAUGCGUAGAUAUCAGGAGGAACACCGGUGGCGAAGGCGGCCUGCUGGACUGCGACUGACGUUGAGGCCCGAAAGCGUGGGGAGCAAACAGGAUUAGAUACCCGCGUAAAC
Molecule: ribosomal RNA, 449 nt
Filed under: uncultured bacterium
Lineage: Bacteria
Description: partial 16S ribosomal RNA
Rfam family: Bacterial small subunit ribosomal RNA
Source: RNAcentral